AAGUCGUAACAAGGUAACCGUAGGUGAACCUGCGGUUGGAUCAUUAACAAAUGAUUUGGUUUCAAACCAAAACACUGUGUGCAAUUACAUCUGUCUCUGGUGGCUUUGUGUAUUUUCUCUCGCCCGGUGCUCCCGAAUGUCAAAUUUGUGCAGAUGUUCAUUAAAGCACGGGUCGAAAAUGGCGGGAGAAGUGGCAACCACCGAAUGCCCAAACAACUUUUUGUAUUUUUUAUGUCUGAAUCAUUCACAUUUUGUGCAAUGAAAAACAAUUUUUAACAACGGAUCUCUUGGUUCUCGCAACGAUGAAGAACGCAGCGAAUUGCGAUAAGUAAUGUGAAUUGCAGAAUUCAGUGAAUCAUCAAAUCUUUGAACGCACAUUGCGCUUUCCGGUAUUCCGGUAAGCAUGCCUGUUUGAGAAUCGAUAAUCACUCACCAUGCCUUUUUUGGAAUUGGACGACAUUCAAGAUGCAGUUUUGAAGAGGUUUCUGUUUGCAAAAACGGAUUCCUUUGGAGAUAAGCUGCACCUUGUCGCCCAAGUCCUUUGCAUAGUGGAUUUGGGACCUUUGCUUUCGUGGCAAUGUCCUUAAAAACAAUGUUUUGACCAUGUUUGCUGAUGCAACGCAGGUUUAGAGUGCAUGAAUAGGUUAAUUCCUUUAUGAUUUCACUCUUCUUGGGUUAUUUUAUUCAGUAUCUUGUGGGCAACUCAAGCCAUCAACUCAGGUUGAGUUUCAUUUGGAACUCAUUCUGAAACUUGGUCUCAAAUCAGGUAGGAAACCCGCUGAACUUAAGCAUAUCAAUAAGCGGAGGAAAAGAAACUANCAAGGAUUCCCCUAGUAACGGCGAGUGAAGCGGGAAUAGCUCAAAUUUAAAAUCUUGCAGGGUUACCUGUACGAAUUGUAGUUUAGAGAAACGUUUUCGGGUCUGACAUGGGCAUAAGUCCUUUGGAACGAGGCAUCAUAGAGGGUGAGAAUCCCGUUUUUGGCCCAAUGUUCAGUCCUAUGUGAUACGUUUUCCAAGAGUCGGUUUGUUUGGGAAUGCAGACCAAAAUGGGUGGUAAAUACCAUCUAAAGCUAAAUAUUGGCGAGGGACCGAUAGCGAACAAGUACCGUGAGGGAAAGAUGAAAAGAACUUUGAAAAGAGAGUUAAACAGUACGUGAAAUUGUUAAAAAGGAAACGCUUGAAACCAGUAUUGCUUGCAAACAAUCAGCCUCAUCUUGUAUGAGGUGCACUUGUUUGUCGGCAGGUCAACAUCAGUUUGACUUGGGGUAAAAAGCCAGAAGAAGGUGACCCAGCGUUUACUCUGGGUGUUAUAGCUUCUGGUCCUGCCUUGGGUUGGACUGUGGUUUGCAGCAUUUUUUGGGUACCCAGUCGCCUCUUGAACCCUUGGCGCAGACAGCUUGCUGACUGCAUCGAGACUUAUGGAGCCCGGUUGGUUUUCCACACCAAUGCUUAGGAUGUUGACGAAAUGGUUUUAAACGACC
RNAcentral lists this ribosomal RNA (1481 nucleotides) under uncultured fungus. RNAcentral's name for it is "eukaryotic LSU rRNA". The stretch from base 753 to 1481 matches the Rfam family "Eukaryotic large subunit ribosomal RNA", at positions 1 to 649 of the family's 3401-position model. The record is from RNAcentral. Lineage: Eukaryota; Fungi.